Molecule: long non-coding RNA, 126 nt
Filed under: Coturnix japonica (Japanese quail)
Lineage: Eukaryota; Metazoa; Chordata; Aves; Galliformes; Phasianidae
Description: lncRNA (ENSCJPG00005004797.1)
Source: RNAcentral
GUCUGAUCUGUGGGGUGAGUAUCUAUAUGGGUUGGGGGGGGGGUGAGUGUCUAUGGGGCCCAUAGGGUUGGAUCUAUGGGGUUGGAUCUAUGGGGCCCAUAGGGUUGGAUCUAUGGGGCCCAUAGG